Molecule: ribosomal RNA, 333 nt
Filed under: uncultured bacterium
Lineage: Bacteria
Description: bacterial SSU rRNA
Rfam family: Bacterial small subunit ribosomal RNA
Source: RNAcentral
CGUGUAGGCGGCUUCUCAAGUUAGCUGUGAAAUCUUCUGGCUUAACUGGAAGAGGUCAACUAAAACUGAGAGGCUAGAGGGCAGCAGAGGAAGGUGGAAUUCCCGGUGUAGCGGUGAAAUGUGUAGAUAUCGGGAGGAACACCAGUGGCGAAGGCGGCCUUCUGGGCUGCACCUGACGCUGAGGCGCGAAAGUGUGGGGAGCGAAGUGGAUUAGAUACCCACGUAGUCCACACCCUAAACGGUGGACACUAGGUAUAGGGGGGUAUCGACCCUCUCUGUGCCGUAGCUAACGCUUUAAGUGUCCCGCCUGGGAACUACGGCCGCAAGGCUAAA